Long non-coding RNA from Aquila chrysaetos chrysaetos, 278 nucleotides. RefSeq lists it as uncharacterized. The record is from RefSeq and is a predicted model, not a curated record. NCBI's taxonomy places the organism in Eukaryota, Metazoa, Chordata, Aves, Accipitriformes, Accipitridae. The transcript is spliced from 3 exons.
CUGGAAUGAGGCUGGGUGUAAAGGGAACUAGGCCUUAACCCUCAUUGUUUCUAAGACUAUUCAUAUCAGACAUAUAACUAAUGAUUAGAGAUUGUUUUAGAUGUGAUUAAUAGAAUGCAGGUGCUUAUAAAACAAUAUGCAUAAGCUGCUCAUUUGUCCCACGUGUAGCCCUCACCGUGGCUGGCUUAAAACCCAGUGAAGCUGAAUCAACAGAAAAAGGAUCAUACAUCUUAGACCUAAGACAUAAGAAUAGGUAAGAGUAAGUGAUUAACUUUAGA